Molecule: ribosomal RNA, 253 nt
Filed under: uncultured bacterium
Lineage: Bacteria
Description: partial 16S ribosomal RNA
Rfam family: Bacterial small subunit ribosomal RNA
Source: RNAcentral
UACGUAGGGUCCGAGCGUUGUCCGGAAUUAUUGGGCGUAAAGAGCGCGUAGGCGGUCGUUCAAGUCGAGUGUGAAAGCCCCCGGCUCAACUGGGGAGGGUCACUCGAUACUGAUCGACUUGAAGGCAGGAGAGGGAAGCGGAAUUCCCGGUGUAGUGGUGAAAUGCGUAGAUAUCGGGAGGAACACCAGUGGCGAAGGCGGCUUCCUGGCCUGUUCUUGACGCUGAGGCGCGAAAGCUAGGGGAGCAAACGGG